Molecule: ribosomal RNA, 325 nt
Filed under: uncultured eukaryote
Lineage: Eukaryota
Description: partial 18S ribosomal RNA
Rfam family: Eukaryotic small subunit ribosomal RNA
Source: RNAcentral
CCCUUAGAUGUUCGGGGCCGCACGCGCGCUACACUGAAUGAAUCAGCGAGUGUAUGUCCUAGGCCGAAAGGUCCGGGUAACCCGUUGAACCUCAUUCGUGAUUGGGAUAGGGACUUGCAAUUGUUUCCCUUGAACGAGGAAUUCCCAGUAAGCGCAAGUCAUCAGCUUGCGUUGAUUACGUCCCUGCCCUUUGUACACACCGCCCGUCGCUACUACCGAUUGAAUGCUCAGGUGAGCCAUUCGGACUUUCAUCAUGCUGGUUUCCAGUUUUGAUGAAGGAAAGUCUUGCGAACCUUAUCAUUUAGAGGAAGGAGAAGUCGUAACA